CUAGCAUCAAGUACACUACUCAAAAAGUUCCCUACAAUUUGUUUAACGACUCUCUCCUUUAGCUUAUGUAUCCCUUUUGCGGGUUUCUUCGUACUUCCACCACCAAGUUGUCCUCCAAAUUUGCCAAGAGUCAUAUUCAGUUCAAACAUCUUCUCUUCUCUUUCUUUAUGUUUACUCACGCUACACUAAACGAUAGCCUCUGUUUCUUUUGAGGCUUUCCACUAAAUGCAUUCAUUUAUUAUUCUCCAAUGCUUUUUUAGCUUAUUUCCAUGUCAUGUACCUUCAAAGAUUAAGAUCAUGUAAUAAGAAUAUAAACUUGCAUCAUCAUGGAGAGUGCUAAACUUGUCAAUGUCUUCAAAGUAAGAAAAAACAUAAUGAAUUUGAGGAU
This 388-nucleotide long non-coding RNA is filed under the name Arabidopsis lyrata. Its description in RNAcentral is "long non-coding RNA (ALYR_LNC001352)". The record is from RNAcentral. Lineage: Eukaryota; Viridiplantae; Streptophyta; Magnoliopsida; Brassicales; Brassicaceae.